This 251-nucleotide ribosomal RNA is filed under the name uncultured bacterium. RNAcentral describes it as "partial 16S ribosomal RNA". It matches the Rfam family "Bacterial small subunit ribosomal RNA", at positions 57 to 305 of the family's 1533-position model. The record is from RNAcentral.
GCAAGUCGAACGGUAACAUGAGAGCUUGCUCUUGAUGACGAGUGGCGCACGGGUGCGUAACGCGUAUGCAACCUACCCUUAACUGGAGGAUAGCCCAGAGAAAUUUGGAUUAAUACUCCAUAACAUAUUGAAUUCGCAUGUUUUUAAUAUUAAAGUUUCGAUGGUUAAGGAUGGGCAUGCGUAAUAUUAGCUAGUUGGUAAGGUAAUGGCUUACCAAGGCAACGAUAUUUAGGGGUUCUGAGAGGAUGAUC